AGCCCUUGACAUCCCGAUCGCGGUUACCAGAGAUGGUAUCCUUCAGUUAGGCUGGAUCGGUGACAGGUGCUGCAUGGCUGUCGUCAGCUCGUGUCGUGAGAUGUUGGGUUAAGUCCCGCAACGAGCGCAACCCUCGCCCUUAGUUGCCAUCAUUCAGUUGGGCACUCUAAGGGGACUGCCGGUGAUAAGCCGAGAGGAAGGUGGGGAUGACGUGUAACCGAAUCU
RNAcentral lists this unclassified non-coding RNA (225 nucleotides) under uncultured Alphaproteobacteria bacterium. RNAcentral's name for it is "contains 16S-23S intergenic spacer region". It matches the Rfam family "Bacterial small subunit ribosomal RNA", at positions 980 to 1195 of the family's 1533-position model. The record is from RNAcentral. Lineage: Bacteria; Pseudomonadati; Pseudomonadota; Alphaproteobacteria.